Molecule: ribosomal RNA, 427 nt
Filed under: uncultured prokaryote
Description: bacterial SSU rRNA
Rfam family: Bacterial small subunit ribosomal RNA
Source: RNAcentral
UGAGGAAUUUUGCGCAAUGGGAGCAAUCCUGACGCAGCAACGCCGCGUGGGUGAUGAAGGCCUUCGGGUCGUAAAGCCCUGUCAGGUGGGAAGAAUGUCCCGGGACUGAACAGGUUCCGGGAGUGACGGUACCACCAGAGGAAGCACCGGCUAAUCCGUGGCAGGCAGCGCGGGAAUACGGGGGGUGCCAGCGUUAUUCGGAAUUACUGGGCGUAAAGCGCGUGUAGGCGGUCCUGCAAGUCUGAUGUGAAAGCCCCGGGCUUAACCCGGGAAGUGCAUUGGAAACUGUGGGACUUGAGUACUGGAGAGGAUGGGGGAAUUCCCGGUGUAGAGGUGAAAUUCGUAGAGAUCGGGAGGAAUAUCAGUGGCGAAGGCGCCCAUCUGGACGGUAACUGACGCUGAGACGCGAAAGCGUGGGGAGCAAACA